This 442-nucleotide ribosomal RNA is filed under the name uncultured bacterium. RNAcentral describes it as "partial 16S ribosomal RNA". It matches the Rfam family "Bacterial small subunit ribosomal RNA", at positions 338 to 795 of the family's 1533-position model. The record is from RNAcentral.
CCUACGGGAGGCAGCAGUGGGGAAUAUUGGGCAAUGGGCGCAAGCCUGACCCAGCAACGCCGCGUGAAGGAAGAAGGCUUUCGGGUUGUAAACUUCUUUUGUCAGGGAAGAGUAGCAGAUGGUACCUGACGAAUCAGCCACGGCUAACUACGUUCCAGCAGCCGCGGUAAUACGUAGGUGGCAAGCGUUGUCCGGCUUUACUGGGUGUAAAGGGCGUGUAGCCGGGUUGACAAGUCAGAUGUGAAAUCCUGCGGCUUAACCGCAGAACUGCAUUUGAAACUGUUGAUCUUGAGUACGGGAGAGGCAGACGGAAUUCCUAGUGUAGCGGUGAAAUGCGUAGAUAUUAGGAGGAACACCAGUGGCGAAGGCGGUCUGCUGGACAGCAACUGACGGUGAGGCGCGAAAGCGUGGGGAGCAAACAGGAUUAGAUACCCCAGUAGUC